RNAcentral lists this unclassified non-coding RNA (416 nucleotides) under Phaeosphaeria sp. OTU_014. Its description in RNAcentral is "sequence contains ITS1, 5.8S rRNA gene and ITS2". The stretch from base 192 to 345 matches the Rfam family "5.8S ribosomal RNA". The record is from RNAcentral. Lineage: Eukaryota; Fungi; Ascomycota; Dothideomycetes; Pleosporales; Phaeosphaeriaceae.
CAACUCAGUAGCUUGCUACUGUCGGGAGGCGCUGUAAGUCCGUAUAGUUUUAUUACUGAUGAGCGGCAGGCCCUCUGUCUGUACCCUUGUCUUUUGCGCACUCAUGUUUCCUCGGCGGGCUUGCCCGCCGAUUGGACAAAACUAUAACCUAUUUAAUUUUCAAUCAGCGUCUGAAUAAAUAUAAUAAUUACAACUUUCAACAACGGAUCUCUUGGUUCUGGCAUCGAUGAAGAACGCAGCGAAAUGCGAUAAGUAGUGUGAAUUGCAGAAUUCAGUGAAUCAUCGAAUCUUUGAACGCACAUUGCGCCCCUUGGUAUUCCAUGGGGCAUGCCUGUUCGAGCGUCAUUUGUACCCUCAAGCUUUGCUUGGUGUUGGGUGUUUGUCCUCUCCCUCGCGUUUGGACUCGCCUUAAAACA